RNAcentral lists this ribosomal RNA (773 nucleotides) under uncultured bacterium. Its description in RNAcentral is "bacterial SSU rRNA". It matches the Rfam family "Bacterial small subunit ribosomal RNA", at positions 8 to 796 of the family's 1533-position model. The record is from RNAcentral.
AGAGUUUGAUCCUGGCUCAGGACGAACGCUGGCGGCGUGCUUAACACAUGCAAGUCGAACGGAAAGGCCCUUUCGGGGGUACUCGAGUGGCGAACGGGUGAGUAACACGUGGGUGAUCUGCCCUGCACUUCGGGAUAAGCUUGGGAAACUGGGUCUAAUACCGGAUAGGACCAUGCCAUGCAUGUGGUGUGGUGGAAAGCUUUUGCGGUGUGGGAUGGGCCCGCGGCCUAUCAGCUUGUUGGUGGGGUGAUGGCCUACCAAGGCGACGACGGGUAGCCGGCCUGAGAGGGUGACCGGCCACACUGGGACUGAGAUACGGCCCAGACUCCUACGGGAGGCAGCAGUGGGGAAUAUUGCACAAUGGGCGCAAGCCUGAUGCAGCGACGCCGCGUGAGGGAUGACGGCCUUCGGGUUGUAAACCUCUUUCAGUAGGGACGAAGCGAAAGUGACGGUACCUACAGAAGAAGGACCGGCCAACUACGUGCCAGCAGCCGCGGUAAUACGUAGGGUCCGAGCGUUGUCCGGAAUUACUGGGCGUAAAGAGCUCGUAGGUGGUUUGUCGCGUUGUUCGUGAAAACUCACAGCUUAACUGUGGGCGUGCGGGCGAUACGGGCAGACUAGAGUACUGCAGGGGAGACUGGAAUUCCUGGUGUAGCGGUGGAAUGCGCAGAUAUCAGGAGGAACACCGGUGGCGAAGGCGGGUCUCUGGGCAGUAACUGACGCUGAGGAGCGAAAGCGUGGGUAGCGAACAGGAUUAGAUACCCUGGUAGUCC